GCUUCUUCGUAGGCUUGUUCUUCUUCUUCUAACCAGACUUUCUUUUGGAUAAAGAAGCCCGCUCUAUAGCAAGAACAGUGUCUCUUGAACUUUUUAAUAAUUCCUCAGCUGUGACCAAUAUGUUGACCAGUUUGGGUACGGUGCAGUCCAACUUGUUCAUAUAAGAAUUUAUAAUAAAUUGACUAUAUGAACUCGUAAGGGAUUGCAGGAUUAGAUCCACUUGCAAUUCCUUCUGUAUAGUCAGGCCGAGCUUCUCAAGCUCCUCAAUCCUUGAUCAUUAUCAUACAAUACUCAUGAACCGACUGCCCUUUGUAUAUUUUUAUAUUGAAAAGUCUCUUGCAUACUUCAAAACGUACAAUCACUACAAUAGAACAGGAUAUUAGUGAUGCAAAAAAUUCAUCGCUAAUAUUAAAUUUUCAUCGGUAAUAGUUAUUAGCGACGAAAUUAUCAUCGCUGAUAUUUCGUUGUAAAUAAUGGCAUUAUUGAUAAUUUUUUAUGAUAAAAAAAAAAUUUCGUUGCUAAUAAUCGAUAUUACCGAUCAAAAUUUUUCAUCAUUAAAAUUUUUUUUUCGAAAACUAUUCAUG
This 584-nucleotide long non-coding RNA is filed under the name Elaeis guineensis (African oil palm). RNAcentral describes it as "long non-coding RNA (EGUI_LNC041455)". The record is from RNAcentral. Lineage: Eukaryota; Viridiplantae; Streptophyta; Magnoliopsida; Arecales; Arecaceae.